Molecule: long non-coding RNA, 370 nt
Organism: Ostrinia nubilalis (European corn borer)
Lineage: Eukaryota; Metazoa; Arthropoda; Insecta; Lepidoptera; Crambidae
Exons: 2
Source: RefSeq, a predicted model, not a curated record
GGACGACGCCCGCUGCUCGGUAUGCGGCUUGAAGAAUCAUACUAGUGAAAUGUGCCGGUACAAAAAUUAUAAGUGCCAAAAGUGUGGUGUUAAAGGCCAUUUGAAGAAAGUGUGCGGUUCUAGUGGUAAAGGUUCGUGUGUGUAUCACGUUGACGCGGGCUCGGAAUGUGACGAGAAUAAGGUCAAGGACACGGCAUGUCAGGAAUGUCAGAACUUUAAUAUAAGGUUCCAAAAAUUAAGUGUGGAGGAAUGAUGUGUAUGCGCGUCUACGCGCAUAAUAUAUAGAACCUACCUACAUUGUACUCGUAGUAACAAAAGUUGAUGUCUGUGUCGCUGUCAUCGUUUAGUAAUAAACUCGAGUUCAAAGCGA